CGGCGGACGGGUGAGUAACGCGUGGGUAACCUACCCUGUACACACGGAUAACAUACCGAAAGGUAUGCUAAUACGGGAUAAUAUAUUUGAGAGGCAUCCCUUGAAUAUCAAAGGUGAGCCAGUACAGGAUGGACCCGCGUCUGAUUAGCUAGUUGGUAAGGUAACGGCUUACCAAGGCGACGAUCAGUAGCCGACCUGAGAGGGUGAUCGGCCACAUUGGGACUGAGACACGGCCCAA
RNAcentral lists this ribosomal RNA (238 nucleotides) under uncultured bacterium. RNAcentral describes it as "partial 16S ribosomal RNA". It matches the Rfam family "Bacterial small subunit ribosomal RNA", at positions 96 to 334 of the family's 1533-position model. The record is from RNAcentral.